This is a long non-coding RNA of Brassica oleracea var. oleracea, 825 nucleotides long. RefSeq lists it as uncharacterized. NCBI's taxonomy places the organism in Eukaryota, Viridiplantae, Streptophyta, Magnoliopsida, Brassicales, Brassicaceae. The record is from RefSeq and is a predicted model, not a curated record. The transcript is spliced from 2 exons.
UCACGUUCCAUCUACCUUAUCCUGAAAUCAAACCUUAAUAGCAUGAAAUCUCUUAAGCAUCAUACAUAUGUAAACACUAAUAGCCAGACAAUUUAAUUUCGAAUUGAAUCGGAUGUGUAACGUCUCCCUCCAUUACUAUCGGCCAUCAAAGCUUUACAGAACUUAUGACACCCAAACUCUUCACCUCCCAUCAAACUCGAGCUAUAUAUACUCACAUGAAAGGGAAAAAUUUUCUCUUCCCAAAUCCCCUUACAAAUAACCAAUCGCACACACCGCUUCAACGGAUACGAAACAUGAGAUUUACGUGACACCGGUCCGGCGAAACCAAACACCAAAACUCAGCCGAAAUACACCACCUCUUUACAUGGAGACGAUUCGGUGAAAUUGAGUGAUGGCGAAAUCGACCACUGAUUUAAUGGAAAAAGCUGCUCUGCAAAUCACAGCUCCGGCGAAAGUGGUGCCGAAUUCACGGGCUGUUUUGUUCUCCAAGGCGAAUAAAGCUCUGAAGAACAUAAAGAUGAUUUCUGCUUUGGCUGCUAGCUGUUAUAGAUUGAACUGGUACGAAAUCUUGCAGAUUUAUAGCUAACCGCUUACUUUUCUGAGUUUCCUGCCAAGGUCUAAAUGAAGAUAGGGAGAUGAAAUGGCCAGACAAGAAAACUCAUUUCUCCACCUUCCACUGAAUGGAUGCAUCAUACAAAACAGAGGAUUCUUCUAUUCUCAAAGAUUCCCGAGACAGUGUUGUAUCCUAAGGGAUGUUUGUUUUUCUUUUGUUGCCUUCUCCACCAUGAGCUCAUGCAGGGUUCAAGAGUCCAAAAUUACAAUCAG